Molecule: ribosomal RNA, 808 nt
Filed under: uncultured bacterium
Lineage: Bacteria
Description: bacterial SSU rRNA
Rfam family: Bacterial small subunit ribosomal RNA
Source: RNAcentral
AGGGGUGGCUAGAACUCUACAAGUAGCGGUGAAAUGCGUUGAUAUGUAGGGGAAUACCAAAAGCGUAGGCAGGCCACUGGGUGCCUCUUGACACUGCAUGAACGAAAGCGUGGGUAGCGAAUGGGAUUAGAUACCCCAGUAGUCCACGCCGUAAACGAUGAGUGCUUGCUUUUAGGAGGAGUCAAUCCCUCUUGGAGGCAAAAGCUAACGCUAUAAGCACUCCGCCUGCAGAGUACGGUCGCAAGACUAAAACGUAAAGGAAUUGACGGGAACCCGCACAAGCGGUGGAUCAUGCGGCUUAAUUCGACUCUAAGCGAGAAACCUCACCAAGGUUUGACAUGUAAUUGCCAACCCUAAGAAACUAGGGCUUCUUCGAGAGUAUUACACAGAUGAUGCACGGUCGUCGUCAGCUCGUGUCGUGAGAUGUUCGGUUAAGUCCGAAAACGAGCGCAACCCUUAUCUUUAGUUAUCUAAUGUCUAAAGAGACUGCCUGGGUUUAACCAGGAGGAAGGCAGGGAUGACGUCAGAUCAGCGUGUCUCUUACACCUUGGGCUGCACGCAUGAUACAAUGGGUAUGGUACAACGGGACGCCAAGCGGUAACGCAGAGCAAAUCCUAUAAAACCACCCCAAGUACGGAUUGAGGUCUGAAACUCGACCUCAUGAAGCUGGAAUCGCUAGUAAUCGCAAAUCAUCACGUUGCGGUGAAUACGUUCUCGGGUUUUGUACACACUGCCCGUCACACCAUGGGAGUUGGCCACGCCCGAAGUCGUUACUCUAACCGUUCGCGGAGGAGGGCGCCGAAGGCAG